UACGUAGGGAGCAAGCGUUGUCCGGAAUCAUUGGGCGUAAAGCGCGCGUAGGCGGCCCGGUAAGUCGGGUGUGAAAUCUCGGAGCUUAACUCCGAAACUGCAUUCGAUACUGCCGUGCUUGAGGACUGGAGAGGAGACUGGAAUUUACGGUGUAGCGGUGAAAUGCGUAGAUAUCGUAAGGAAGACCAGUGGCGAAGGCGGGUCUCUGGACAGUUCCUGACGCUGAGGCACGAAGGUCAGGGGGGAGCAAACGGG
RNAcentral lists this ribosomal RNA (255 nucleotides) under uncultured bacterium. RNAcentral's name for it is "partial 16S ribosomal RNA". It matches the Rfam family "Bacterial small subunit ribosomal RNA", at positions 524 to 776 of the family's 1533-position model. The record is from RNAcentral.